This 253-nucleotide ribosomal RNA is filed under the name uncultured bacterium. Its description in RNAcentral is "partial 16S ribosomal RNA". It matches the Rfam family "Bacterial small subunit ribosomal RNA", at positions 524 to 776 of the family's 1533-position model. The record is from RNAcentral.
UACGUAGGCAGCGAGCGUUGUUCGGAGUUACUGGGCGUAAAGGGUGUGUAGGCGGUUCUCUAAGUUUGGUGUGAAAUCUCCCGGCUCAACCGGGAGGGUGCGGCGAAAACUGGAGGGCUAGAGUGCGGGAAGGGAGAGUAGAAUUCCUGGUGUAGCGGUGAAAUGCGUAGAUAUCGGUAGGAACACCAGUGGCGAAGGCGGUCUCCUGGAGCAGACUUGACGCUGAGGCGCGAAAGCUGGGGGAGCGAACGGG